This 283-nucleotide long non-coding RNA is filed under the name Sinocyclocheilus anshuiensis. RNAcentral's name for it is "lncRNA (ENSSANG00000047071.1)". Lineage: Eukaryota; Metazoa; Chordata; Actinopteri; Cypriniformes; Cyprinidae. The record is from RNAcentral.
UGCGGUCAUUGAAAUCUUUACUUUUAACUCCAGUACAAUCAGCCCUAAAAGUUCAUUUUACAGGAAUCUUCCAGCUGAUGUCACAAAUCCUUCUUACUACUUUGGCAUCUUCAUCUGCCUGCCUCUAUUUGGAAUGUCAUUCUUAAAUAAAAAGGUUUCUGCUUUCCUGCUUCUCUUUAGACGAGCCCGUGCCAAAACUCAGCAGUGACCUAAGGACACCGUGAUAUAUUUGCGCAUUCCUACCAAAAAAAUCAUGGGCCGCUAUCAUUUAUCGAAUCACAGG